GUGCUCACUUUGGCAGAACAUAUACUAAAGUUGGAAUGAUGCAAAGAAGAUUAGCAUGGCCCCUGCGUGAGGAUGACACACAAAUUUGUGAAGUGUUCCAUGUCGUU
Molecule: small nuclear RNA, 107 nt
Filed under: Prolemur simus (greater bamboo lemur)
Lineage: Eukaryota; Metazoa; Chordata; Mammalia; Primates; Lemuridae
Source: RNAcentral